UGUUGUUGCUCCCUCUGCUGCAUAGUUUUGUCUUUGUUUUUGCCACAGUUUUGUCUAGUUCUUUGCCAUAGUUUUUGCCAAGUUUCACAGCCCUGUUCAUUUGUCACUUUGGACUGCUCACUCUGUUUUUUUGACAUUCUGCCUGUUUUGUGGAUUACGCUAUUGUUUUGCCCUGGAUGUACUGCUUGUUUGGAUAUCGACCCUGCCUGUCUUGACUACGAUCUGUUUAAUAAAGUUCGCAAGUGGAUCUUACACGCUUCCCACGAGUCCAUGUUACAGACAGAUGCAAAUGGAGACUAUUGGAAAUAAUUUUCCUGUGAAGAAAUCCUGAAGGAGGGUUGAGAUGAAGGCAACCACGUGGCUGUGCAUUCCUCCAAGACUCUUGCAUGAACAGUUUCAAAAAACAUUUGAGCUUUUUUAAAAUCUCAAAAUGGCACUUGGAUUGAACAUGCAGAUAAAAGGGAAAUAAUACAUACCUUAUAAUGAAUUACAUCACUUUAAUGAUAUUUCAGUUAUAAUAAAUUGCAUAACUUCAAAAAUUUGUUGUCAAGCCACUGGAGUCACAUACUUUAUUGAUGUUUUUAUACCUUUCUGGACCCUGAAAGUGGUAGUUGCGUAGAUUAUCAGUAGUAGUACCCAGAAAGUACCCCAGAAAGUACCCAAAAAAAUACCAAAAAAUACACUAUAUAUAUAUUACAAAUACAGAAAAUAUAUAUAUAUUUCUAUAUAUUGAGUUUGCCUAACAAACGUGUGUGUACUGUGUGUAAUUAUUAUGUAUAUAUAAAUGCACACAAAUUAAUGUAUAUAUUUAACAGAAAUAUGUCAUUUAUGUACAAAAUAUUUGUAUUUAUAUAUAAUAUAAAUGAUAUAAAAUUUAUAAUAAAUACACAUACUUGUAAAUAUUUCUUAAAUAUAUACACGAAUGUGCUUGUAUUUAUAUAAACAUAAUAAUUACACACAGUACACACACAUAUACUAGGCAAACUCAAGCUUUUAUUUUGUAUGCGAUUAAUCGUUUGACAGCCCUAAUAUAUAUAUAUAUAUAUAUAUAUAUAUAUAUAAAGCAAAUAAAUUCAGCACAAUAUACGAAUUGAACAUAGUUUAUUUUUACUUCAUGUAAACAUUCUUAAAAGUGCAUUCAAUGGCUUUUGUUUGCCUUAAAUUGGUUAGGACAAAACAAUAUUAUCAAUCAAAUACUCAAUCAAAUCAAUUCACUUAACAAUGUGUCAAACACCAAAAAAUGCCUGUAUCAGAAAAGACAGUUUAGAUUUAAAUAGCAACAGACAUAAUUAAAAAAAGAAAACAUGAGCACUCGUACAAUACUGGUGUUGCACUAAAUAGUGGUCACAAAAUUUAAACUUCAAACUGUAAAACAGUCAAGAUUCAAAACUUUUUUUCUUAUAAGAGAAAACAAUAUUGUUUUAUUUCACACAAAUAUGUGAAUUCUGUCAAUUACUCACCCUCACCAUUUUAAACCCAUAAGACUUUCAUUCAUCUUUAGAACACAAAUAAAGAGUAUUUUUAAAUGAAAUUUAGGUACUUUCUGUCCUUCUAUUGAUAAUCUGCGCAACUAUCACACAAAGUCCAGAAAGGUAUAAAAACAUCAAUAAAGUAUGUGACUCCAGUGGCUUGACAACACAUUUUUGAAGUUAAGCAAUUUAUUAUAACUGAAAUAUCAUUAAAGUGAUGCAAUUCAUUAUAAGGGAUGUAUUACUUCCCUUUUAUCUGCAUGUUUAAUCCAAGUGUCAGAUCAACUAUGUCUUGCAAUAUACUUAUUUUCAACUAAAUAAACAGCAACAAAGAGUC
Long non-coding RNA from Labeo rohita (rohu), 1806 nucleotides. RefSeq lists it as uncharacterized. Lineage: Eukaryota; Metazoa; Chordata; Actinopteri; Cypriniformes; Cyprinidae. The record is from RefSeq and is a predicted model, not a curated record. The transcript is spliced from 2 exons.